GCCCUAGUUUUUAUAUGUUAUAUCCAUUUACUCAUGAAAAAUGAAAAUAAUGUAACCACGUCUGAAACCGACCCUAACGCCCUUACCUUUACUCAAACUGAACUUGUUUUACCUCUAUCUCAUCCAUUCUAUCUUCAUCCUUCUGAUAAUCCUGGUACUAUUAUCGUGACCAAACAAUUUAAUGGGGACUAUUUUGGAGCAUGGAGAAAAGGCAUUAUUAUUGCCUUGGGGGCACAGAAGAAGUUAGGAUUCAUUAAUGGGAGUUAUGUUCAGAUUCUCUUUUAUUUGAACAGUGGGAACAAUGCAAUAACAUGAUCAAUAGCUGGAUCCAUAAUUCUUUAGACCCGUAUAUUUCACAGAGUGUCAUAUGUUCCAAGUCUGCUAAUAGUCCAUGGGAUGAAUUGAAGUAGAAGUAUGGGCAAGAAAAUGGUGCUAGGAUGUAUGAAGUCCUUUACCAAAUGGUGCUAGGAUUUAUGAAGUUCAAAAGGACUUGAGUUCUAUAUCUAAAGGUUCUCCUAAUGUGGGUGGUUAUUUCAAUAAGGUAAACAAACUCUGGGAUGAAAUGGAGUCUUUUGAAGCUAACUCUUUUUUUGUAUGUGAAUAUAAAUAUGGAGGUAAACACAAAAUGAUUAUAAAGAUGAAAAAUCAGAAAUUGAUGCAAUUUUUGAUGGGUUUGAAUUAGGUAUUCAACAAAGCUAGAGGAAAUAUUAUGAUGAUACAACCACUUCCUGAAGUUAGCAAGGCUUAUUCUCUAGUUGUUCAAGAUGAGAAGCAGAGAGGGAUUCAUAAUGUAACUGAUUUUCAGUAUAACUUUGAAACCUUUUCUGCUGGAUCUAAUCGUCCCACUUAUAAUCCAAAACCACCUCAAACCACCAAUUUUACACAGAAAUAUACUUUUAACAAUCCAAAUCCUAACAAUCAGGGUUUCAACAAUCAAAAGGGAGGCUAUGAUCCAAAAGGCUCUAUUGCAAAUAUUGUAAAAAGAGUGGACAUGUAAUUGAGAAGUGCUACAGGUUGCAUAGGUUUCCACAACCUUAUAAAUCAGGGAACAAGAAUGUCCGAGUUGCUGCACCUGUUCAUACUUCUCAUGAUUCUAAGCCUGAUCAUUCUCUUGAGAAAUGAAUAUUGCAAAUACCAUCACACCUAAUUAGUACAGGAAACUUAUGAAUAUCCUUCAACAUGUUCAAGUUGGUCCUGAUGAUUCUCAAAGUCACUCUGCCACAACUAACUUUGCAAGGCUCUUCUUUGAAGAUGCCAUUGGUACCUAGUAAGAUGACUAAAGGGCUCUAUCUGUACAACUCAAGAUCACAAUCUCCAGUCACACAUUCUAGACCUCCAUCAACUUGUCCUUCCACUCGUUUAAUUCCUUUUCUAUUCAUGCAAAUGCAUUAAAUGUAAAUAAGUCCCAACUUCUAUGUCAUAAUAGGUUGGGACACCUUACUGUUUUAAAAUUACAAAAAAUAAACUCUUUGAAUGUACCAUUUUCUGAUAAAUAGUCUUUCAUUUUUUAUAUAUGUCCAUUUGCUAGACAACAAAGAAAUCUUUUUACUGAGAGUAAUUCUCAUUCUUCCCAUUUAUUUGAUCUUAUUCAUGCGGAUGUUUGGGGACCGUAUCACACUGCUACACAGAGAUCUUAUAGAUAUUUUCUCACAAUUGUGGAUGAUUGUAGUAGAAACACUUGGACACACCUUCUAAGUCACAAGGGCAAUGCUCUAUCCAUUAUAAAGUCAUUCUUCUCCAUGGUUGAAACUCACUUCAACACCAAAAUUAAAACUAUUCGAAUAGACAAUGCUUUGGAACUUGGUACCAGUUAUGAAUCUAUUCAAUUUUUUUGUCCAAAGGCAUUUUAUACCAAACCUCUUGUCCUUAUAUACCCCAAAAAAAUGGAAUAGUUGAAAAAAAACAUAAAUAUUUGCUAGAAAUAGCAAGAGCUUUGCUUUUCCAAUCCAAACUCUCAAUUAUAAUUUAGGGAAAUUGCAUUUUAACUGCCACCUACUUGAUUAACAGAUUUCCUAGUACCAUCUUAUUAGGCAAGACUCCUUAUGAGGUUUUAAUUGGGGAACAACCUUCUUACAGUCAUCUAAGAAGCUUUGGGUGUUUGUGUCAUGCAAUGAUCCCUAACCACAUAGGAAUAAGUUCUCUCCUAGGUCUAGCGCAUGUGUUAUGUUGGGAUAUACUCCUAGAAAAAAAGGCCUAUAAACUCCUACAACUUUCUGAUUAGAAAAUAAUUUUUUCAAGGGAUGUUGUUUUUUAUGAAAGCAUUUUUCUCUUCUCAGAUGCUCCUUCUUCCAAUGUUUUGUUCCAUUCUACACAUAUCUUUUCUGAUUCGACUCAGUCACCUUCAUCUAUUACUUCUGUACCUAUAGAGCAUUGUCCUGUUUCUUCCUCUCCAUCCAUCCCCCCUUCUGUUCCGUCUCACAGCACUCCAGUUCUUCUUUUCCACCUUCUAAACAAGUUCCUUCACCUUCCUCACCUGAUAUACUUUCUUCCUCACUUCCUCUCACUUUAAGAUAUCCUUCCAGAACUCACAAUCCUCCUCCUUACUUAUCAGAUUAUUUUUGUGGUGUUCUUCCUCCUGCAAUUCUAACUUCUAUACUUGUUUUCCCUACUUUUAUAUGCUUCAGUAGUCUAAGUUCAAUCAAUUAGAAUUUACUUCACAAUUUGGACAUCGUACAUGAAUCAUCCAGUUUUCAUCAGGUAGUGUUGCAUCCUGCCUGGAAGGCUGCGAUGUUGAAGGAAUUUGAGGCUCUUUAACUUAAUAUAACCUAGGAUAUAGUUCCUCUCCCUAUGGUAAAGAAGCCAAUUGGUAAUAAAUGAGUUUAUAAGAUCAAACAUAAUGUUGAUGGUAGUAUAGAGAGAUUUAAAGCUAGGUUAGUCGUAAGGGUGAUACUCAACUAGAGGGGAUUGAUUAAAAUAAAACCUUUUCUCCCGUAGUAAAAAUGACCAACAUUAGAACAAUUAUAGUUGUGACAGUCAAAAAGGAUUGGACUAUGUUCCAAUUGGAUAUUUAUAAUGCCUUCUUAUACUGGGAUCUAGAUAAAGAGGUGUACAUGAAGAUAUACCAGGGCCUGACUGUUUCUGGACCCAACAUGGUUUGUAAGUUGAACAAAUUCUUGUAUGGCCUAAAGCAAGCUUCGAGGCAAUUGUAUUCAAAAUUAAGUGAUUCUCUUCUUUCUAACAGUUACUCAGUUUCUAAGAAUGAUUACUCUCUGUUUGUCAAGUCCACUGACUCUCAUAUUACAAUUGCUGCUAUUUAUGUUGA
This is a non-coding RNA of Nicotiana tabacum (common tobacco), 3262 nucleotides long. The record is from RefSeq and is a predicted model, not a curated record. NCBI's taxonomy places the organism in Eukaryota, Viridiplantae, Streptophyta, Magnoliopsida, Solanales, Solanaceae.